This 306-nucleotide ribosomal RNA is filed under the name uncultured Planctomycetota bacterium. Its description in RNAcentral is "bacterial SSU rRNA". It matches the Rfam family "Bacterial small subunit ribosomal RNA", at positions 29 to 351 of the family's 1533-position model. The record is from RNAcentral. Lineage: Bacteria; Pseudomonadati; Planctomycetota.
AAUGAACGUUGGCGGCGUGGAUUAGGCAUGCAAGUCGAGCGAGAACCGUAGCAAUACGGGGACAGCGGCGAAAGGGAGAGUAACACGUGGAUACCUACCCUCGGGUUCAGGAUAGCUGCGGGAAACUGCAGGUAAUACUGAAUGAUAUCUCCGGAUCAAAGGUGUGAUUCCGCCCGGGGAGGGGUCCGCGUCCUAUUAGCUUGUUGGCGAGGUAACGGCUCACCAAGGCGAAGAUGGGUAUGGGAUGUGAGAGCAUGAUCCCACUCAUUGGGACUGAGACACUGCCCAGACACCUACGGGUGGCUG